AAAGAUCGCAGUCUUACACUGUUUAUAUUUAAUGUUUGAUUGUCCGUCUUAUUUAAAAAUUUAUUAUGAUUAUUAUUUUAUUAUUAUUAAAUGAUAAAACAUUAAUAGUAUUUAAUGUGUAAUUUUUUUAAUUGUUUUUUAAUUUUUUUUAGAUAAGAUGGACGGUAAAGCGUUGGACAAGAAAACCCACAACUGCACUUAAA
Oryza glaberrima (African rice) is the source of this 203-nucleotide non-coding RNA. The record is from Rfam. NCBI's taxonomy places the organism in Eukaryota, Viridiplantae, Streptophyta, Magnoliopsida, Poales, Poaceae.